Molecule: ribosomal RNA, 462 nt
Filed under: SRB bacterium enrichment culture clone SRtB-otu10-1
Lineage: Bacteria
Description: bacterial SSU rRNA
Rfam family: Bacterial small subunit ribosomal RNA
Source: RNAcentral
AAGUUCCUUCGGGGAUGAGUAAAGUGGCGCACGGGUGAGUAACGCGUGGAUUAUCUACCUGCAUCACCGGAAUAACGGUUGGAAACGACUGCUAAUGCCGGAUAGUCUCGAAAGGGUAAAGGGGGCCUCUGCUUGCAAGCUUCCGGGUGCUGAUGAGUCCGCGUCUGAUUAGUUAGUUGGUGAGGUAAUGGCUCACCAAGGCAACGAUCAGUAGCAGGUUUGAGAGGAUGACCUGCCACACUGGGACUGGAACACGGCCCAGACUCCUACGGGAGGCAGCAGUGGGGAAUAUUGCGCAAUGGGCGAAAGCCUGACGCAGCGACGCCGCGUGGAGGAUGAAGGCCUUCGGGUCGUAAACUCCUGUCAAGAGGGAAGAACCGUAUGCGGAAUAAUACGCCGCAUGCCUGACGGUACCUCUAGAGGAAGCACCGGCUAACUCCGUGCCAGCCGCCGCGGAAACAU